GACGAACGCUGGCGGCGUGCUUAACACAUGCAAGUCGAACGGAAAGGCCCCUUUGGGGGUCCUCGAGUGGCGCACGGGUGAGUAACACGUGAGUAACCUGCCCUUGACUUCGGGAUAACUUCAGGAAACUGGGGCUAAUACCGGAUAGGAAUCCUUGCUGCAUGGUGGGGGUUGGAAAGCUUCGGCGGUUUUGGAUGGACUCGCGGCUUAUCAGCUUGUUGGUGGGGUAGUGGCUUACCAAGGCUUUGACGGGUAGCCGGCCUGAGAGGGCGACCGGCCACAUUGGGACUGAGAUACGGCCCAGACUCCUACGGGAGGCAGCAGUGGGGAAUAUUGCACAAUGGGCGGAAGCCGGAUGCAGCAACGCCGCGUGCGGGAUGACGGCCUUCGGGUUGUAAACCGCUUUCAGCAGGGGCGAAGCUUGUGGUGACGGUACCUGCAGAAGAAGCACCGGCUAACUACGUG
Molecule: ribosomal RNA, 465 nt
Filed under: uncultured bacterium
Lineage: Bacteria
Description: partial 16S ribosomal RNA
Rfam family: Bacterial small subunit ribosomal RNA
Source: RNAcentral